This 434-nucleotide ribosomal RNA is filed under the name uncultured bacterium. Its description in RNAcentral is "partial 16S ribosomal RNA". It matches the Rfam family "Bacterial small subunit ribosomal RNA", at positions 29 to 507 of the family's 1533-position model. The record is from RNAcentral.
AGCGAACGCUGGCGGCAGGCCUAACACAUGCAAGUCGAACGAACCUUUCGGGGUUAGUGGCGGACGGGUGAGUAACACGUGGGAACGUGCCUUUAGGUUCGGAAUAACUCAGGGAAACUUGUGCUAAUACCGAAUGUGCCCUUCGGGGGAAAGAUUAAUCGCCCUUAGAGCGGCCCGCGUCUGAUUAGCUAGUUGGUUGAGGUAAUGGCUCACCAAGGCGACGAUCAGUAGCUGGUCUGAGAGGAUGAUCAGCCACAUUGGGACUGAGACACGGCCCAAACUCCUACGGGAGGCAGCAGUGGGGAAUCUUGCGCAAUGGGCGAAAGCCUGACGCAGCCAUGCCGCGUGAAUGAUGAAGGUCUUAGGAUUGUAAAAUUCUUUCACCGGGGACGAUAAUGACGGUACCCGGAGAAGAAGCCCCGGCUAACUUCGUG